GAUGAAGAACGUAGCGAAAUGCGAUAAGUAGUGUGAAUUGCAGAAUUCAGUGAAUCAUCGAAUCUUUGAACGCACAUUGCGCCCCUUGGUAUUCCGGGGGGCAUGCCUGUUCGAGCGUCAUUGCAACCCCUCAAGCACAGCUUGUGUGUUGGGCUCUCGUCCCCCGUGGACGGGCCUGAAAUGCAGUGGCAGCACCGAGAUACCGGUGUCUGAGUGUAUGGGCAUUGAUCAUCACUCGAUAGACCCGAUCGGCGCUGACCGUCAAACCACGAUUCCUCGGAAUCAUCCAGUUUUGACCUCGGAUCAGGUAGGAAUACCCGCUGAACUUAAGCAUAUCAAUAAGCGGAGGA
Molecule: unclassified non-coding RNA, 350 nt
Filed under: soil metagenome
Description: partial contains 5.8S ribosomal RNA, internal transcribed spacer 2, and large subunit ribosomal RNA
Rfam family: 5.8S ribosomal RNA (bases 1-120)
Source: RNAcentral